AGUUCCCGAGCUGCACCAAGCAACUGAGACUCCACAUCAGCCCGUACCAUAUGGAAGACCAGCAGAAACAUACUCAGAGGCUGGCUCCUCAUCUCAGCCACCUGAACCAAUGACACAUCAAGUUACUCAGCAGUUCCAGCAAAUUGCUGUGCAACCAGAAGCAGGUGCAUCCCAAGCAAUUCCACCUGUAUCGAGCAAGUCAAUGAGGUUUCCACUUCGGCCUGGAAAGGGUAGUAAUGGAACUAGAUGCAUUGUUAAGGCCAAUCACUUCUUUGCCGAGUUACCUGACAAAGACUUGCACCAGUAUGAUGUUUCAAUUACACCAGAGGUAGCUUCCCGAGGUGUCAACCGCGCUGUCAUGGAGCAGCUUGUAAAGCUUUACAGAGAAUCCCAUCUUGGGAAGAGGCUUCCAGCCUAUGAUGGAAGAAAAAGUUUGUACACCGCAGGGCCCCUCCCUUUUGUUCAAAAAGAUUUUAAAAUCACACUUCUUGAUGAUGAUGAUGGACCCGGUGGUGCUAGGCGAGAAAGGGAGUUUAAAGUUGUGAUCAAGCUGGCUGCUCGUGCUGAUCUUCAUCAUUUAGGGAUGUUCUUACAAGGGAGGCAGGCGGAUGCACCCCAGGAGGCCCUACAGGUUCUUGAUAUUGUUCUGCGUGAGUUGCCAACAAGUAGGUAUUGUCCCGUGGGCCGAUCAUUCUAUUCCCCUGAUUUAGGACGAAGACAACCACUAGGUGAAGGUUUGGAGAGCUGGCGUGGUUUCUACCAAAGUAUUCGUCCUACGCAGAUGGGAUUAUCCCUGAAUAUUGAUAUGUCUUCCACAGCAUUCAUUGAGCCACUGCCGGUCAUUGAAUUUGUGAGCCAGCUUCUGAAUCGGGAUAUCUCUUCUAGACCAUUGUCUGAUGCUGAUCGGGUUAAGAUAAAGAAGGCCCUGAGAGGUGUAAAGGUGGAGGUCACUCAUCGUGGGAAUAUGAGGAGGAAGUACCGCAUAUCUGGUUUGACAUCUCAAGCAACAAGAGAGUUGACUUUCCCUGUAGAUGAAAGAGGUACCAUGAAAGCUGUUGUGGAAUACUUUCGAGAAACGUAUGGUUUUGUUAUUCAGCAUACUCAGUUGCCUUGUCUUCAAGUUGGAAAUACACAAAGGCCAAAUUAUUUGCCUAUGGAGGUCUGCAAGAUUGUGGAGGGGCAGAGGUACUCCAAACGCUUGAAUGAGAGGCAGAUAACAGCACUUCUGAAAGUGACCUGCCAGCGUCCUCAAGAGAGAGAGAAUGAUAUUCUUCAGACUGUUCGUCACAAUGCUUAUUCAGAUGACCCAUAUGCGAGGGAAUUUGGUAUUAAGAUUAGCGAGAAGCUUGCUCAAGUUGAGGCUCGCAUUUUGCCUGCACCUUGGCUUAAAUACCAUGAUACAGGUCGAGAAAAAGACUGUCUACCACAAGUGGGCCAAUGGAAUAUGAUGAAUAAGAAAAUGGUAAAUGGAGGAACAGUGAACAACUGGAUCUGUAUAAAUUUUUCUCGCAAUGUGCAAGACAGUGUUGCCCGGGGAUUUUGUUCUGAGCUUGCACAGAUGUGCAUGAUAUCGGGCAUGAUCUUCAACCCGAAUCCUGUUUUACCACCAGUGAGUGCUCGCCCUGAUCAAGUUGAGAGGGUCCUGAAAACUAGAUUUCAUGAUGCUAUGACGAAGUUGCAGCCGAAUGGGAGGGAGCUCGAUCUGUUGAUCGUCAUAUUGCCCGACAAUAAUGGCUCCCUUUAUGGUGAUCUAAAACGAAUUUGUGAAACUGAUCUUGGCAUUGUCUCGCAAUGCUGCUUGACAAAACAUGUGUUUAAGAUGAGCAAGCAGUAUUUAGCCAAUGUGUCCCUUAAGAUUAAUGUGAAGGUUGGAGGUAGAAACACCGUGCUUGUUGAUGCGAUCUCUAGGCGAAUUCCCCUUGUCAGC
This 1927-nucleotide unclassified non-coding RNA is filed under the name Hevea brasiliensis (rubber tree). Lineage: Eukaryota; Viridiplantae; Streptophyta; Magnoliopsida; Malpighiales; Euphorbiaceae. The record is from RNAcentral.